UUAACCUUAUAACCUUAACAGCCACCGUUUAACCUUAUAACCUUAUAAGGGUAACGGCCACCGUUUAACCUUAUAACCUUAACGGCAACCGUUUAACAUUAUAACCUUAACGACCACCGUUUAACCCUAUAACCUUAACGGACACCAUUUAAUCUUAUAACCUUCCCUUGAGUAGUACUAGAGAGUUUAACGGCCACCAUUUAAACCUUCACUGCCUUGAUUUUUUUAUUAAAAACUUAUUCAUAAAUAUUGACUUGCAGAAUACUUCCAAGACUAACAAAGAAAACAGGAAAAAGUUUAAGUAUCCGCACACUAUGGGCAAAACAAGUUUUGUUUUAAUCGCGAGGAAAAAAAGAUGAAAAAUUCUGGUGUUUUGUCGAAUAAGGCGGUGUUACCAAGACUGUUUUGAAACAGAAAGGAAGUGAUUCUGGAUUCUCUUGAAAAUCUUAUGAACUGGUGGAGAAGAGAUUGGAUAAGCUAGAAGAGAGGAUGCAACAAAGAAUGAAUCCUCAAAGAGAUGUCAUUGAGCGAGAAGUUACAAUGAACAUCAUUGCACAACUUCAGCAUCUAAAUUCAGGAUUAAUACUUGAUCGUAAUAUGCUAGGAUUCAAUGUUCAUUUGUCAGGAGAAGCGCUUGCUAAUCAACAAGGAAAUCGUCCAUCUGUUGGUAGUAACAAUCAAAGUCAGUUUCCAUUUCUUGAUCUGUUGGUAGAACUUCUCUUGCUUUUGGUGUGUGUUUGUUGCUGAUUAGCUGGUGAAAGUUUGGUAUUAGUAGUUUGGUAUUGUGGUCUAGUAUUAUUAGUUUGGUAUUGUGUCCUAAAAGAAUAUAAAGAUGAUUCCGUUUCAAAAGAAACGUAUUCCAUUUUUUUAAAAUGUAUAUAAUAAUUUGAAUUAAACUGCAAA
This is a long non-coding RNA of Capsicum annuum, 903 nucleotides long. RefSeq lists it as uncharacterized. The record is from RefSeq and is a predicted model, not a curated record. NCBI's taxonomy places the organism in Eukaryota, Viridiplantae, Streptophyta, Magnoliopsida, Solanales, Solanaceae. The transcript has 2 exons.